This 301-nucleotide ribosomal RNA is filed under the name uncultured bacterium. RNAcentral's name for it is "partial 16S ribosomal RNA". It matches the Rfam family "Bacterial small subunit ribosomal RNA", at positions 509 to 809 of the family's 1533-position model. The record is from RNAcentral.
CAGUAGCCGCGGUAAUACGAAGGGUGCAAGCGUUACUCGGAAUUACUGGGCGUAAAGCGCACGUAGGCGGCUUGGUAAGUUAGAGGUGAAAGCCCGGAGCUCAACUCCGGAAUUGCCUUUAAGACUGCCGAGCUAGCAGGUGAGAGAGGUAAGUGGAAUUCCGAGUGUAGAGGUGAAAUUCGUAGAUAUUCGGAAGAACACCAGUGGCGAAGGCGGCUUACUGGCUCAUACUGGACGCUGAGGUGCGAAAGCGUGGGGAGCAAACAGGAUUAGAUACCCCAGUAGUCCCUGUCUCUUAUAA